UAGGUGAACCUGCGGUGGGAUCAUUAAAUAAUCUCAACCUUGGGGCUAUUUGUUUGUGGGCGUAGUUGUUUCAUUGUUUUUGGGGAAUGUGUGCUUUUCUUUAUUGGACUGUAUGCUUCUUGGAGAAUGAGGAAUGACUAUUGCUUGCAACUGAGCUCUGCUUGUGUGAAUCUUGUGAGUUGCAUGGAGAGGAUAUCUGAUAUCUAAUCCGGCAAUGUGAGAAUAGUUUUGGCGGGUGUAUUGUGAGAGUGCAUAUUAUGUGCUAUUACAAGCCCCCGCCAGCUGUUCUCUCUAACAUAAACACUAUCAAACAAUCAAUCAACACAUAUCUCGAGGACUAAACACCCUCAUCAAUUCAAUUACAACUAUCCGUGGUGGAUCACUUGGCUCUUGCAUCGAUGAAGAACGUAGCGAAUUGCGAAAAUUACUGCGAAUUGCUUUAGCGUGAAUCAUUGAGUCUUUGAACGCACAUUGCACUCUGUACUUCUGUGCAGAGUAUGCCUGUUUGAGCAUCAGAUUGACACCACUUGGUCAUGAUAUUUUUAGGCUUGAAAAAUCCUUAAAAAGUUGUGGCUGAGGACUGUGAGCGCUUUCCAACCCUUAUUAAUGAGGGUUGGUCGCUUCAAAUACAAGAGGACAGAUUUUCAGUGGCCGACUCGAUUCGGAGCACUGUGAGCGAGAGGCAGCGUGCACAUUCAAUUUUGCAUUCUGUUGUCCAGACCGUGAAGCGUGGUUGGCCAGAGACUAGUAGCGGACGCAAGUCUGCGAACAUUUUGAUUAUCCAUCGGCAAGCAAUUAACUUUGUUUGCCAUCACACACAUGGUCGCUACGAGACAGCAGGAUACACGCAAUUUGGAAUGUAAAGGCUGAAUCGUUUGAGCUCACAAUUGCGACAAAUCACUUAACUGUGCCCUAUUGCCUCUAUUCAUGUUUGCAAUCUUUACAAAUCAUCAAAAUGAUCUCAAAUCAGGUAGGACUACCCGCUGAACUUAAGCAUAUC
Molecule: ribosomal RNA, 1000 nt
Filed under: Coemansia aciculifera
Lineage: Eukaryota; Fungi; Kickxellomycota; Kickxellomycetes; Kickxellales; Kickxellaceae
Description: eukaryotic LSU rRNA
Rfam family: 5.8S ribosomal RNA (bases 364-515)
Source: RNAcentral